GCAAACUUGGUCAUUUAGAGGAAGUAAAAGUCGUAACAAGGUUUCUGUAGGUGAACCUGCAGAAGGAUCAUUAGUGUAUUGAGCUGGGGCAGCCGCCAAGGGCCGCGCCGGGCUUUCGAGCCCAACUACGGUGCAUGUGCCUGGCUGUCCACCUCACACCCACACCGAUCCAAACCCCUGUGCACACGCUCCUCUGGCGUGCGUUCGCGCAUGCCGGGGAACAAUGAAACACCUAGCCAGUUGAAUGAACGUUAGUGUGUUGGAUCGUAACGACCAACGAAGAAAAACACAACUUUCGACAACGGAUCUCUAGGUUCUCCCAUCGAUGAAGAACGCAGC
RNAcentral lists this unclassified non-coding RNA (339 nucleotides) under uncultured fungus. Its description in RNAcentral is "partial contains small subunit ribosomal RNA, internal transcribed spacer 1, and 5.8S ribosomal RNA". The stretch from base 1 to 73 matches the Rfam family "Eukaryotic small subunit ribosomal RNA", at positions 1759 to 1831 of the family's 1831-position model. Lineage: Eukaryota; Fungi. The record is from RNAcentral.